This 3803-nucleotide long non-coding RNA is filed under the name Canis lupus familiaris (dog). RNAcentral describes it as "lncRNA (ENSCAFG00845016071.1)". Lineage: Eukaryota; Metazoa; Chordata; Mammalia; Carnivora; Canidae. The record is from RNAcentral.
UUUUUUUUUUUUUUUUUUUUAGCACUAAUACAAAAUUCAGCAGAACACUUGAGAGUCUUUUUUCUUCUCAUUCAUGUUUAAAUUUGCAGACAUCUCCUUAUAGGAAGUUAUUUUUUUUUAAUAUACAGGCAAAAGCCUCUCUUUUAUAAUGCUCAAACCCCAUUACUUUUGAAUUCCAUAAUCAAAACACAAAACCUCUUUUGUUUGAAUAAUUCCCCUGGAAACUUGUAAUCCAGCUUUCAUUUGCACACAUCUCUCCUAUAAAACCUUGAAUUUCCUGCUUCUGAAGAUAAUAGCUGGAAUUUAUCUUAAUGUAAAAUAUCUCUUUUCAUUCCUACUAAUGUCUGGAUCUCAUUAGAGCCAAAGACCAGCUGUACUCUGUUUUGUGAGGCUUAAGCCCCAAACAAUUCACAUUCUCUUUCUAACUCAGCCUAUAAAUAUGCAUAGAUUCCUGAAAGGAAUGACCUAAGAGGUCAUUUAGUCCAGUGCUCACCUAAAGCAGAAUCACUCUCUUUUAUCCCAGAUAGCUGGUCGUUUUGCGAUCACUUAAAUACUUACACUAACAGGGAACUCACUAUCUUGCACUUCUGGUUCUUGGCAGAAUGAUUUAUUCUUUUUCACAUGGCAUCUUUCAUGUCUUCUACCCUUUUCCUCAACAAAUUAAACACUUUUCAAUAACCUUUCAUGUGAUUCAUCACCAUGCUUGUGUCUCCAAUUAGUUAGGCACAAUGCCCACAGAUCAUCCACACAUCUCAGCAUACAAUGUGACAAUUACCUCCCUUAUUCUGGCCACUUCCUCCUGUUAAUAUAGAUUCUGUAGCAUCUACAAGAUGCUAUGCCACUGCUUGGCUCAAAAUGCAAGCUGAAUUAAUACUGUUUUCCUUUGUUUUUUAAAUUUCUAAUCACAUAAGCAUUACGCACUUUCCAUUUGUUGUUUGCUUAAUGCUUGCUCCAUAAGAACCAAUACUAGAUCAGCACUGCCCUUUAUAUUAUGUUAUAUAAUUUAUUUUCUGAAUCAAAAUGCAUAGUGCAAUAUUUAUGAUAAUGUUUUAUCAACAUUUUUUGAAUCUUGAUUUUAUGAUCCUGUAUAUUAACAGUCGCUGCCAUUUUUUUGAGAUGCAAAUGUCAAGGAGCAAGAAUUUCCUGUCCCCUUCAAAGGUCCUUCUAGCUGCACUAGGAAUCAAUCAUAUUGACAGCAGAAAGUCAAAUUGAAUUUUGUAUGUAUGGGGAAUCCACACAGAUGUGGAAAUUCCAGAGAUAGGUAACAAGAGAUAUGGGGGUAGGGAUCUGGGACUUCAAAGGGAAGGAAUGCAAUUCACGAAAAGAUAAAAAAAGAGUAAAUGUUUGGUAAACAAAUGUUUGCUGGGCCACUCAGAAACAGUGAGACAUAGAAGACUUUGAUCAAACAGGUGUAGGUAGCUAGGCUCCCCUCUGUCGACCCUGCCUAGUUCAUAACAAAAUGUAGUUAUCUAUGGUGAUAGCUCUCUUCCUGAAGCAGGUCCUUUAUCUCAUUUCUUUUUAGGCAGUUGAAGAGGAAGUAAAGAGCUUUUCCUGAACCUGCUGGGUCUGGAUUACAUUUUAAUUUAAAAUAAUCUUUGUGCCAAUGUGGCCCAUCUUGGGGCCACCUGCCCUUGGCCCUUUACAAACAUACUAUUGUCUUUUAACAUUUAUCUCAGUUAUUUGUAAGAAUUUCAAACAAGGUGGAAGCUAAGUCAGUGCCCUGUUGCAUGCUAAUGUUGGCUCCCCUGUGCUCCUCAGCAUUUUUUAAAUCCAUAAGACCAGUAAUACUAUUAAAAUUAGGAUGGAAAAAAAUUAGAAUGGCAAAAUCAGAAUAGUGACAAAACUAUGCAAAAAAUGGUGAUAAUGUAGAUUUAAAAGAUAAUAAUAUCCUCUUUCAAAAAAAAUCCUCUUUCACCAUUUUUUUUUUCAAAAUCAUAUGGGAAGUCCUUACUAAUGCAAUAAAGCAAAAAGGGGGAAAAGAUGUGUGUGUGUGUAUAUAUAUAUAUAUAUAUAUAUACACACACACACAUAUAUAUAUACAUAUAUAUAUAUAUAUGCCCACAGAUCAUCCACACAUCUGUAGAUAUAUAUAUAUAUAUAUACACAUGGCAUCUUUCAUGUCUUCUACCCUUUUCUUCAUCAAAUUAAACACUUUUGGAAGAAAGAAAUAAAAAACUUUUUUAAAGAUUUUAUUUAUUUGGCAGAGAGAGAGAAUGCACACUGGAAAGGCUCUAAGAUUGAGGGCUAUACCACCACUGGGGUGGUGUCAGAGAAAGCUAAGAAGGAAGCUGAGACUUUUGUUUCAGCCAGCCUGUGAGGAACUUCCCCUGUAGUAUCCUGGAGACCAAAAUGGGAAUAUAUAGAUCCACUCCCAUCCAGCACCUCUCUACUGAAGUGAUGUCAGAGAACAUCUAGUGGAGGGUUAGGACUUUCACCACUAACUAGUGUUAAUGAUGCCACCUCUCUAUGAUGCCAGUGGAGACCACAUGGGAGGCCAGAAAUCCUAUUGCCUAGAGUAAUGUGGAGCCACAGACACACAAGCACUAGAUGUUAAUAGAACCCAUUGGGAAACAUGGGCUUCAACGUCCACCUGACUCUGAUUAAAGUGGAGUCAUAGAAAGUCAACAAAACAGAAGUUAAAUGAGAUCCAGAGUCUCAUAAUUUAUUAUAAAAAUAUCCAGGACUCAACUGAAAAUCACUCAUCAUACAAAGAAACAGGAAGAUCUUGAAUUGAAUGAAAAAAGAAAAUCAAUAGAUGCAACAUUGAAUUGACAAAGAUAUUAGUAUUACCUAGAAAAUAACCUUAAAGCAGCCAUCAUAAAAUGCUUCAAUGAGUAAUCUAUAAACAUAUUCCAAACAAAUAAAAGAUGGAAAGUCUCAGAAAACAAAUAGAAUAUAAAGAAACAAAUGGAAAUUUUAGAACUGAAAAAUAUAGUAGCUGAAAUAAAAAACUCAAUAGAAUGGAAGAGACAAACAAAAGAAUCAAUAAACUAGAAGAUAGGACAAUAGAAAUUACCCAGUCUCAAUGCAAAGAGAAAAUAGACUAAAACCAAAACAAAACAAAACAACCAGAGUCUCAAGGACCAGUGGGAAUAUAAUAAAAGAGCUAACAUUUGUGUCAUGGAAGUAGAAGGAGAUGAAAAAGAGGGCAGGGCUGGAAAAGUACUUAAAGAAAUAAUGGCUGAAAACUUUUCAAAUUUAGUAAAUGACAAAAUCUACAGAUUCCAAACGUUGAGUGAACUCCCAACAGGAUAAACCCACAAAACACACAGCAAGCUAGAAAGAUCAUAUAAGUACCUCUUUUCUAAGUGAACAGAGCAAAAGAGUCUGAUGUACCCAGCAGCCUAAUUCUUUAGACUAAGGUCAGUAUAAACUUCCUAAUUAAUGGAGCAUUCUGUCAUCAGAAUUUGAAUGUCAUCAAGAUGUAAUUCCAUUUGUCUAAGAGCGAAUCUUUCAUGCAAGGUACUUUUUGGAAAGCCUAAAAAGACAGAUAGUGAGGUCUUCUUGUGCCUUGGUUGUUUUUGUCUGUUUGGCAAUCAAUGUUUAAAUAUGCAACAGAAUUCUAUCUGAGAUUGCUUUCACUGUAAUAUAGUAGUAUGGUAGCAAGUUUCUAGAGAAGGAGUCCUGUAACUACCAGCCACUCCUAGGUAUUGAGGGCUAUCAAUACUUAGAAAAAACUUAAAAAUUGUGACUAGCUGAAUUGUUGUAGGUCAUUCACAUCAUGGUUAAAGAAGGGGAAAUAUUGUAGUCAUUUUUCAUCACCCUUGAAUAGAGUGUGCCAAUUUGUGCCAUCAUGCAUAUUA